RNAcentral lists this non-coding RNA (33 nucleotides) under Alexandrium minutum. The record is from RNAcentral. Lineage: Eukaryota; Dinophyceae; Gonyaulacales; Pyrocystaceae.
UUUUUUUUUUUUUUUUUUUUUUUUUUUUUUUCG